GCCGGGCCAGUUUGAGGUCGAUAGAGCGAUUGAAAUCAGCUGGCUGAACGUGGGACGCAUCCCGGAACGGGGAGCAAGUGCAGUUCUUCCCAGAAGCAGCUCCUGUGAGGAUCAGGGUGCAGAGCUGGGUCUUCAGCAUCCGACUUUUGUGAUGGGUUUAGGAUUUGAGGACCCCUCCAUCUCUCGGAAGAAAUGUCCACCCCAGAUGAAGGAGAUGUGAAUGGUCCCACCCAGAACCCAACUUCAUCUUGACCCCUAUUCUGGGAGGUCUCCUGCUCCCUAUCUCUUCAUUUCUUCUCAUUGGACCCGGAAUCGAUUGCCUCCAUACACAGUUGCACCUUUGAUGUCGUUGCCGAGCCCAGGUAAACGGAACAUUGAUUUCUUUGUACGUUCACUUACUCAUUUGAGAAAUGUUUACUGAGCAGCUACUACAGGCGAGGCACUGCCGAGUGAUCUGUGUGACCCGGUGGGGGGCAGAAGGCUCUAGAUUGUAGGACUCCUGUCCCCACUCCGCACUCCUUACCUCUCCUAACCUGGACUAUUCAGCAAAUAUUCAGGAUACAGGUGUAUUUUGUGCCAGGCACUGGGAAACUAUAGAACCAGUCAUUCCCCUUUGUAGUCGGGGGAGCAGUUAGACAGGGGGUGAGCCCUAAGGAAGCCCUAUUAGGAUCCCCAAGACAACGUUGCAGGAAAAGGCUAAAAUAUGGUAAUAGCGUUAAAGUGAGGUCAUGCACAGGGAGUAGCCGAAGUCUGCAUCACAACAAAGGGUCUGGGGAGGCCAGAAGUGGGCGCCAUUGUCCUUUUGUUACAGGGCGGAGUGGGUAUACUUUCUCUUUCAGAUCAGGAACCACCGACACGCGCCCUCAACAUCUUAGGAUCAGUGUCCAAACUGGCGUGCAGGCUGGGCUGCUUAUACCCUGCUGGUCACAUGGGAGAUUCCUGCUCUGUAACGAUCCCGAAGGCAGAGCCCAAGGGGGUUUCACUGAGACCAGGUACACAUCACUAGUCUCACAGGUGACAAUGAACAACACUGACAGGCUGGCAGUGACAAGCUUCCCUGAAACUUGCCUUGGCUCCGUGGUUACAAAGCAACGCUAUCAGAACAUUAUUAUGUCUUGAACAGAGGCCAGUGCUGCGCAGGCACAUCUCUCACUUUAGCAACUCAUCCAGGCCCACAGGAGUUAACCCUGGAGCCCCUCGGAUCCAUUCUCUAUGCUGCAUCCAGUGAGUUUUAAGAAAAUAUAAUAAAACCGAGUCUGAAGAAAACAGAAAAUAACAAUGCUGGCGAGGAUGUGGAGAAAUCACAGCCCUGGUGCACUGUUGGUGGGAACGCAAAAUAGUGUGGCCACUUGGGGAGACAGUCUGGGGGCUCUCAAAAAAUUCUGAAUAGAUCCAGCCAUCCCGUUUCUGCUGUUACCAGAAGACAGGAGGCCUGGAUGUUGGCAAAGUCCACAAGUCCACACAUACUGCUGGGACAGUGGCUGGUCCAAACUAGGUUUUCUAUCAUUUUAAUUUUUCUUCUUUUUCUUCUUUCCCUGACGUGGUUUCCUUCCCUUCUGACUCCAACCUUUCACGUACAUCUUUGCGAAAUAAACCUUCCUCCGCCACCUGGUCCACAAAGACUAGUUACCACAAUGUCUCCCAUAACCUGAAGCCCUGUAGGAAAGUUCCAUGUCAACCACGGCACCUUGAAUCCUGAGGGCUGACUGUUUCUCUCUGACUCCAGGCCACACCCACCUGCCCUUUCAAACACAUCACUAAUAUGAGCCCGGCUGGGAUGGUAAUGGCCGGCCGGCGUGUCAGGUGAAUUUGCACACUUCUUCAGCCCCACACACCUAGACCAUCCUCUCCCUUCUUUGUAGGUCCAACUUUUCCCCUCAGUGUCAACAAUAAUGCCAAAUUCAUGGUAUUAUUUUUUGUCUUCCCUGUCUUCCCUUCCUCCUAUCUCUGUCCCUACUCACCAGGACUUUACUCUCGCUACAACUUUUUUUUUUUUUAGGUUUCUUCCUCAUUAUUAAUAUUCUUUGCAAUCAUGUGGUCCAAAAUUCAAAAGGUACCAAAAGCCACAUGCAGCAAAAUUUACUCCCAUCUGUCUCAAGUUUCCUAAUCCUUUAACAGAGGUGACUGCUGUUACUAAUUUGUAAAUUCUUACA
Neofelis nebulosa (Clouded leopard) is the source of this 2153-nucleotide long non-coding RNA. RefSeq lists it as uncharacterized. The record is from RefSeq and is a predicted model, not a curated record. The transcript is spliced from 3 exons. NCBI's taxonomy places the organism in Eukaryota, Metazoa, Chordata, Mammalia, Carnivora, Felidae.